Molecule: non-coding RNA, 161 nt
Filed under: Palpitomonas bilix
Lineage: Eukaryota
Source: RNAcentral
ACGAUAUACAUACGUAAAUAAAAAGAAAUGGUGAAAACUGCGCAAAGCAAGGGAAAGAAGUGAGAAUGGAAUGAAAGGUUGAACUGAAAGAAGGGAGGGAAAUAAGCAAGUUUCCUCCUUCCUCCCCUUUUCUGUGCUCACUGCUUCCCUUCUUUCCUUUU